This 1857-nucleotide long non-coding RNA is filed under the name Sus scrofa (pig). Its description in RNAcentral is "lncRNA (ENSSSCG00000053135.1)". Lineage: Eukaryota; Metazoa; Chordata; Mammalia; Artiodactyla; Suidae. The record is from RNAcentral.
CAGCGGGUCGCGCCCAGAACCACGCCCGGCCUGCCGGUCGCUUGAGAGCAGUACCCUCUGGAAAGGUGGGGAGGAUGCGGCGAGGCCCGCGCAGGAGACCGUGGGCAGCCAUUGUGGCGUGCUCCCGCAACUGUUUACGUGAGGCCGAGCGCGCCUCUUGGUGGGGCUGACUCCAGUUGAUGAGAGGGGAGCCUUGACUCCGUGAUACCCCGGAACCUCCUCGGGAUGCCCUAUAGAGAGGCAGACGGCGUGCGUCUCCAGCGUGGUGGGACUGCGGGCCAAAUGCUUGCGCUUAACACUUCUUCCAGGAUAAUUUCAUACAAAACUUACCUGUGGCCAACCAAAACACACUAAGAAGAUAGAAGUAAAACUUUGCCUCCCCUACAGUUUCUGGUGAUGAGUUUUGGAUUUCAGUAGUUGGGACAUUGAGAGAUCCAGGGACAUCUGACAGAAAGCCAGCAGAAGCAUUGGUCAAGAUGGCAAAAAAAGAUGAACAUAAUAAAAUAUAAGUGCAAUGAGAGGAGUCACUAGAACAUCUGUGGAAGCACAAAGGAGAAACUGCCUAGGAGUCAAGAAACACUUCACAGAGAAGGAAGGUGCUCGGCAUGGCUCUACUGACUUGACUCACCAACACAUUGCAGUUUUCAAUAUAGGAUUUGGUGAACUUUGAGUGGUAAGGAAAAUCUCUCGAUUACAAUAAGAUGGGAUUAAGAUGGCAGAAUAGAAGGACUGGAGCUCAAGUUCUCUCCUAAAAACAACAAAAUUUACAACCAAAUGCUGAGCAAUCUUCAACCAAAUGCACCGGAAACUUUCAAAAAGAUAGCCUACUCCAGACGACAAAGAGGAGGCCACAUCAAGAGGUGGGAGGGGUUAUUACGUGGUGAAAGCAACCCCACACCUCCUGGAUGGGAAGCCCCACAGACUGGAAACUAACUGGUUCACAGAGACUCACCUACAGGAGUGAGAGUUCUGAGCCUCACAUCAAACUCCCAUGUAUGGGGAUCUGGCACUGGAAGAAAGCCCCCAGAGCAUCUGGCAUUCAAGGCCAGUGGGGCUUGUGUGCAGGAGCCCCACAGGACUGGGGGAAAUGGAGACCCCAUUCUUAAAAGGCUCACACAGACCUUCACAUGCACUGGGUCCUAGAGCAAAGCAAAAUCUCCAUAGGAAUCUGGGUCAAAUCUGACUGCAGUUCUUGGAGGACUUCCUGGGAAAACAGGGGUGGACGUGGCUUGUUGUGAGGGAAGGACAUUGGAAGCAAAGCUCUCAGGAAUAUUCAGCAGUGGUGCCUUUCUCUGGAGGUGGCCAUUUUGGGAAAAUCUGGCCCCACCCAUCAGCACUGAGAAGGCCCAGGGCAAACAACAAUCCAGGUGGGAUCACAUAUCUGCCCAUCAGUAAACAGGCUGCCUAAAGAUCCCCCAAGCACACAGUCAUCUCUAAUCUCACCCAGAGACAAAGCCCCACCCACCAUAGGGACAGGAAUCAGCUCCACCUACCAGUGUGCAGGCAUCAGUCCCUCCCAUCAGGAAGCCUAUAGCAAGCCCCCAUACCAAUUUCAGCCACAAGGGGGGCAGACAUCAGAAGUACGAGAGGCUAUAACUCCAUUAUCUGUUAAAAGGUCACCACACCAAAAACCCAUGAAAAUGAAAAAACGGAGAACUAUAAAUCAGAUGAAGGAGAAAGAAAAAAACCCAGAAAAACAGCUAAGUGAGCAGGAGAUUCUCAGCCUCCAGGAAAAAGACUUUAGACUGUUGAUGCUGAAGAUGAUGCAAGACAUUGGAAAUAAACUGGAGGCAAAGAUGGAUAAUUUUAUAGGGAACACUGAGCAAAGAGAUACAAGAUAUAAAACUUAAACAAGAA